CGUUCCCAGCAGCAGCAGCCGCCGCCUCCUCCUCCCGCGACGAUGCCUCCACCACCCACCCAGGCAUGAGUCCCGGCGGCACAUAGACCGCGUUGUUCUGGGUCAGGAGAGUCCCGGCACUGCGCGAGGCCAUGGCUCCGACGAGCAGGAAGGCGAGAGAGGGCGAAGCUGCUGGGCACGCGAGGCCGAGGCCUGAAGAUGGCCGGAGUCUGAGUAGGCCGCGACGGUCACAAACCCGUCGCCAUGACAACGAGGCCGGGACGGGAGGCAGCGAGGGGAGGAUGCCCCGUCUCUCUCGCGCGCGCUCUCUCUGUUGCGCAGGCGCGGUGGCGGGCGGGGGGGGGGGUACCCAGCAAAGCGAGGCUGCCCAGCUGAUGUCGGACUACAACUCCCAGCAUCGUUGCGCCCGCCCGCCCGCCAGCUAGCAUCAAUUAUUAUUUAUGAUCGGCGUGGGAGCUGUAGUCCAACAAACAGCUGGGGACCCCAGUCUCGCUGAGUUGUUAUCCCAAGCCUAAGGUGGCAGCACUAGGGUUUCAGAGUCUUACGCCUGUCAAAUUUGGGUCCCCACGGCAACAUCUGGGGGCCUGUGUGUGGUGAACACCCCUGCUAACUGGGAAUGCUCUCUGGAGAUUUUUCUGUGCAGUAUCCCGCCCCGCCCCCCCGCCCCAGUGAACAUCUCCAGGCUUGCAUUCAAGAGUCUCCUAGAGAUGGAGGGUGGGAAGCAAACUCUUGGACGUUCAGAUGAACACAGGAAAGAGAGGGAAUUGAGUUGUGCAUGCCUGGGCUCUACACAUUCUUGCAAAGGUCUGGGAAGAGCCCCCUGGGGUGCACAAAAUAUGUAUUAAAUGGGCUGUGUGCUCCACAAGCUCCUGCCCCAAUAUGUUUGUUUAAGCAGCUAAGGAGGACUCUCCACCCCUGCUUCAUUUUGCACCUGUGCUGGCAGUCCUAAUGCAGAGCCUUCACAAGACAUCCAUUCCUCCAUGUGCAACCAAGUAUGAACGGAGCCACCUUACUCCAUAUGAUGGUGCCUUCGUGCCCAAACAGGUGUUGCUUCUGGUUCUCCUCUCUGGCAACUAGCCCCCAACAAACACCUGUCCAGGCUAGUAAACUUAGGAGGAAGUGGCAGCCCUGCCUUUUAGAGGGUUUUAAUUUAUAGAGGACUCGUAAGCUACUUUGGCAUUCUCGCUAAAAGCUGAACUUAUAAUUCAAACGGACAAAUAAACAACAUUACUCACCAAUGCAUACUGUGAAAUAUUCAUGUGCAAUAUAUAAAUGUAUAAAAGUGAAAUACAACACUGUGUGGUCAAACAGAAACACAGACAGCCGCUUUAAUGGAUAAUGCAACUUUCAUCAAGUGAAGAUAUUCUGCAGAUAAGUGAGAGAGUCCCUGCUGGGCCUGCAGAAGAUCUCAGGCCCUGUCUCUGGCAGCGGCAUCUCCAAGAAGGGCUGAGAAAGAACCACCCAUCAAAAAUGCCAGACAGCUGUUGCCAGUCAAUGGACACAACAAGGAGGAAGGAUCCAUGGUUUUGACAGGCAGCUUCAUAGGUUACCCAUAAAGUUUGGUUUGGCCACUGGAGCCUAAAUCCACCCUCAGACUGCUUGCCGGAAAGCCUGAACCAACCACUUCAUGGAAGGAUCACUGACUUGAGGCCCAAUGUUUGGAAUAAAUUCAUUAUAAAUCAAAUGAAUAAAAUAAAAUAAAAAUC
Hemicordylus capensis (graceful crag lizard) is the source of this 1706-nucleotide long non-coding RNA. RefSeq lists it as uncharacterized. The record is from RefSeq and is a predicted model, not a curated record. NCBI's taxonomy places the organism in Eukaryota, Metazoa, Chordata, Lepidosauria, Squamata, Cordylidae. The transcript is spliced from 2 exons.